AUUGAACGCUGGCGGCAGGCUUAACACAUGCAAGUCGAGCGGGGGAAGGUAGCUUGCUACCGGACCUAGCGGCGGACGGGUGAGUAAUGCUUAGGAAUCUGCCUAUUAGUGGGGGACAACAUCUCGAAAGGGAUGCUAAUACCGCAUACGUCCUACGGGAGAAAGCAGGGGAUCUUCGGACCUUGCGCUAAUAGAUGAGCCUAAGUCGGAUUAGCUAGUUGGUGGGGUAAAGGCCUACCAAGGCGACGAUCUGUAGCGGGUCUGAGAGGAUGAGCCGCCACACUGGGACUGAGACACGGCCCAGACUCCUACGGGAGGCAGCAGUGGGGAAUAUUGGACAAUGGGGGGAACCCUGAUCCAGCCAUGCCGCGUGUGUGAAGAAGGCCUUAUGGUUGUAAAGCACUUUAAGCGAGGAGGAGGCUACUCUAGUUAAUACCUAGGGAUAGUGGACGUUACUCGCAGAAUAAGCACCGGCUAACUCCGUGCCAGCAGCCGCCGUAA
This 501-nucleotide ribosomal RNA is filed under the name uncultured bacterium. RNAcentral describes it as "partial 16S ribosomal RNA". It matches the Rfam family "Bacterial small subunit ribosomal RNA", at positions 30 to 523 of the family's 1533-position model. The record is from RNAcentral.